This is a non-coding RNA of Acanthosepion pharaonis, 113 nucleotides long. NCBI's taxonomy places the organism in Eukaryota, Metazoa, Mollusca, Cephalopoda, Sepiida, Sepiidae. The record is from the annotation of a GenBank genome assembly.
UUACGGCCAUAUCAUGUUGAAGCACCGGUUCCCGUAUGAUCGCCAAAGUUGAACAACGUAGAACCUGGUCAGAGCCUAGAUGGGUGACCAGUUGGGAAUACCACGUGCUGUAA